This is a long non-coding RNA of Phycodurus eques (leafy seadragon), 391 nucleotides long. RefSeq lists it as uncharacterized. NCBI's taxonomy places the organism in Eukaryota, Metazoa, Chordata, Actinopteri, Syngnathiformes, Syngnathidae. The transcript is spliced from 3 exons. The record is from RefSeq and is a predicted model, not a curated record.
UGUUUGCGGUAUGUUUGGAGAACAAACAAUACUGCUUCAGAUGGCAGCCUGACCAGAGCCAUCGAUGGUCUACGGACCCUCAAUCAACACUCCUUGUGGGACAGCUGGAUGGACGUUUUUGGCUUUAAUCAGUAGAUUAAUCACCACAGCAAUUACCCACAUGGAACCGUAUGGAGCAGAUGUGAUUACGAUGUUUAAACUACAACAUUCAUGUAUGAGAAGUUUACUCUGAGUGUAAAUGUAUUUGUUUCAUAAAAAUGAUUCUACAGUUAAAAAAUCGAAAUGAAGUGACUGCAAAAUGAUAUGAGAAUUUGUGCAAAUACAUGAUUAACAGGAGGGAAAUGUUAAAUAUAUUGUAGAAGUUAUCAUUUAUUUGCUUAGCUUGCAUUAG